Molecule: RNA transcript, 2801 nt
Organism: Beta vulgaris subsp. vulgaris (sugar beet)
Lineage: Eukaryota; Viridiplantae; Streptophyta; Magnoliopsida; Caryophyllales; Amaranthaceae
Exons: 5
Source: RefSeq, a predicted model, not a curated record
UUUUUUAACUCAGCUGCAUUUAUAUUAUGCUUGUUUGUCUAACCCUUAAUUACAAAAUACAAAACUCUCUCUUCCUCUCUAGAUUCAUCCUUUCCAAUUUCCCAUUUUCAAACUUUAAUUAUCACUUACAAUUUGGGAUUUUCAGGCCAAGAUUUCAGGCAAAUUUAACUGUUCAACAAGAUUCAAAACUCGAAUCUUUCUGAAAUUUUCAAAGGUUUAAGCUUUAAACUUGUUACUUCCACAAAUUUGACGGAGAAUUCAGAAUUGGAGUAACCCAGAAAGUAUUUUGGGAGAGGGCUGUUUGCAAAUUUCUGCUGGAUGCUGAGUCAGUAGCUAUGAUCUUCCAGUCAAAAGGUUCUAGAUUUGUAAUUUCACGAGAUAGGUAGAUACUUGUUGACGAGUCGUGAACUGUGGACAUGGAUAAAGUGCCUCAGGAUUGCCCUUACCCUGGAUGUUUCUUCUGUGUAAUGAAGGAGGGAAAUCCAAGCAAGCGUAGAGCUAGCAUCCACAAAUUUUUCAGGGAACUGCCUUCACAGGAUGAUGAUGGUCAGGUUCUUCCUAUUAGUGGCCUAUGGAACACUGCCAUGGCACAUCCCAAUGACCCAGAGUUCAUUGAAUUGGGAAUAUUUGAAUGCAUGGCUGCUCUUAUAUGGAAAGGCCUAAAGAAUCGUCGGUGGCUUUCUCAUGAUCAAAAUAUAUAUGUUCCUUACUAUGCUGCCCAUAUAAUUGGUUCGUACACUAUGAACAUGGAGGAGUUUGCUGAAACUGCUGUUCAUGCUGUAGUAAUCCCUCCUUUAGUUGAACUUUUAAGAGGGAGGUUGACUUGGGUUGAACAGAGAGUGGCAGUUCGGGCACUUGGACACUUGGCUACUUAUGCUAGUACUUUUUCUGCCAUAGCAAGUCAUGGUGAAAUUCUUGAGCUAUCCAUCCAAUUGGCAAUGAGCUGCUUAGAGAUUGUUUACACACAUUUUUAUCAGUAUGUUGACAGAAGACUUAGCUAUCAUUGUGAUCUGCUCACACGUGGCAUGGGAGGUGUUGAGAUGGAGUCCAGGAAGGCAGAGGAAUGGGCAAGUCAGUUACAAUGCUGGUCCCUUCAACUGAUAAAUUGCUUUGCAUUUAAACCUGAGUUCCUUCCUACAAUUUGCAAGUCUGAGUUCCUCUCGAAACUGCCAGGCAUGUGGGGUGGACUUGUCAAUGAAAACUCACCAGCUGGCAUUGGAUUACUGCGGACCAUCUGUCACCAUAAAGUUGGCCGGGGACCUGUUGCCAACUGUCCCGAAGUUAUUGAAGCACUGUGCAAUAUUGCUCGUUCCUCAGAUGAUUGGCAGUAUAUGGCCGUUGACUGUCUUCUUUGGUUGCUCCAGGAUCCAAGCACUUGUCAUAAGGUUUUUGAGAAGGCAGUGCCCGCUUUGCUGGAUCUGUCAGAAAUCUCAACUCUUGGGGAUCACAAAAAAUUGGGAGAUUCCAUUGUUAAUGUUCUUCCUGAAUGUGUUGUUCAAUUCACAUCAGCAGCUGGUCGCAAUUCUCUGGGUGACCACAUGAAGGAACAAAUUGAGGAGGUUUUGGGUUCCCGGCAGAGAUUGAAAGGGGAGAAGAACAUGCCCAAAGAGGAUUUACAUAUUAAACAGGCUGCUGCAUUGGUGGUCAAGCUUGAGGGGAAUUCGCUAUUCUCUGCUGGUAACAUAGCUGGGGCUGCAGCUAAAUAUUCAGAAGCUUUGUCAUUAUGUCCAAUGAGAUCGAAGAAGGAAAGAGUUGUCUUAUUUAGUAAUCGAGCUCAAUGCCACUUGCUUUUGCAGCAACCCUUGGCUGCUAUAAGCGAUGCUACACGUGCUCUUUGUCUACACAAUCCUGUCAAUCGUCAUGCUAAAAGCCUGUGGAGAAGAGCUCAGGCUUAUGACAUGUUAGGCUUCGCUAAAGAGAGUUUGUUAGAUGCUAUUUUAUUUAUCAACGAAUGCUGUCAAUCAAAUGACCCUGACCUCUCAUUGAGGCAAAAUAAAGUUCCUGACUAUGCUGAGCGCUUAGUUAAAAAACAGAUGCGUGUAGCUUGGCUGUUCCGGGAAGCAGCUGUAAAACAUGGAGGUGUUCAUGGGGAGGCUGGUGCUGGUGACAUUUCUGGUCAGGAGACUGAUGAUUCUGAAUGGGAAACAGCUAGUGAAAGUGAUAUAGGAGAUGACGACAAGCAUGAGAUAGGAAGAGAAGAUUGUGACUGGAAGAACGAUGAACAGCGGAAAAGCAAAUAUAGUAAACCUUCCAAAAAAGAGGUGAGCUGAUGAAUAGUGUAAGCACUGCAAUGUAAGACACUCUCUCCAGUUUCUUUGUGCUCGAGACUCAGGUGCUAAGCAUGAUUCAACAACCAUGGUUGAAGAUUAUAGAUUAAGAUGAUUAAAUCAGUUUCCUGCUAAUUUGAAUGAUGCAACUGUCAUCAAGAAAGAAAAGUGAUCAUCUUAUUCGAUUUCAACAUAAGCAGCCAUCAUACGCUGCUGCAGACUGUGGUCUUAUUUUUGAAGCUGAAGUGCAAGAGAGAGCCUGCUCAGUGAGUCACUGUAUUUAGAUGUAUAACGUGUGUCAUAUCUGCAUUUCACCUUUGUUUUUCGGAUUUUAGACAGUUUUGCUCAAAGUACAUGUAGACCAAUCUGAUUGCAUUGCUCAAACGAGCCCGUUUGUUUUGUUUCCUCUGUCUCCUUGUAUCUUUGUCUUUUUGAACCACUUUCAGCUGUGUGUAGUGUUGUAAGAAAAUAUUGUAUAUAGACUCUCGUAACUGGGAGUGUGUUUGCCUCAGAUGCUAGUGUCAUUUUGUUCCA